This 182-nucleotide non-coding RNA is filed under the name unclassified sequences. The record is from Rfam.
CUGACUGCGUGUGCGGCUCUCCGCUUUUUAAGUCGUACACAGCUUUAAUAAGGAGGAAAAAGCGACCCUUUGGCUCAGGGUGCGGCAGUGUGGAGACCUGUCGUAAGGCGGCGCGUCCCAAAGCGGGCGGCCGUGAGGGCGUUUCAUGCGAAGGCAGAACGCUCAGAGCUGCGAACAUGGCA